GAUGAACGCUGGCGGCGUGCCUAAUACAUGCAAGUCGAGCGAACAGACGAGGAGCUUGCUCCUCUGACGUUAGCGGCGGACGGGUGAGUAACACGUGGAUAACCUACCUAUAAGACUGGGAUAACUUCGGGAAACCGGAGCUAAUACCGGAUAAUAUAUUGAACCGCAUGGUUCAAUAGUUAAAGACGGUUUUGCUGUCACUUAUAGCUUGAUCCGCGCCGCAUUAGCUAGUUGGUAAGGUAACGGCUUACCAAGGCGACGAUGCGUAGCCGACCUGAGAGGGUGAUCGGCCACACUGGAACUGAGACACGGUCCAGACUCCUACGGGAGGCAGCAGUAGGGAAUCUUCCGCAAUGGGCGAAAGCCUGACGGAGCAACGCCGCGUGAGUGAUGAAGGUCUUCGGAUCGUAAAACUCUGUUAUUAGGGAAGAACAAAUGUGUAAGUAACUAUGCACGUCUUGACGGUACCUAAUCAGAAAGCCACGGCUAACUACGUG
Molecule: ribosomal RNA, 497 nt
Filed under: uncultured bacterium
Lineage: Bacteria
Description: partial 16S ribosomal RNA
Rfam family: Bacterial small subunit ribosomal RNA
Source: RNAcentral